GGCAGGCCGAGGACACUGGAGGAAUUCAUUCGAAACAUUUAGAACCGGUCUAGCAAACAGCAAGUGCUCAGUAAAUGCAAUCAAACUUCCUACUUAGGAAGUCCUUUGGCUUUCCCCAAUGGAGGUGAGGUAGGGCCAGGAUUUGAUGGCCUCCCUGAGGGAAGCCAUAGAUGUAAAGAUUCUUGCCUCCAGACCCGAUGACCUGAGUUUGAGCUCCAGGAUCCACAAGGCAGAACGAGAGACCGACUCGUAAGUUGUCUUCUGACUUCCACACUCACACAAUGCCAGGGUCCUACUCUGCAGCCGAGGCUGGGAUUGAACCUAUUAUCCUCUUUUCUCUGCCUCCCAAGUGUUUGUGUUACAUGAAUCACCAUGCCACAAGAUUUUGAAGACAAGCUGAGAGUGGGGGCAUGUAACUUUUGUUGUAGCACUUGAUCUUCAGAGACAGGUGAACCUCUGUGAAUUCAAGGAUAGCCUGGUCUACAUAAUGAAUUGUACUUCAGCUAGGGGUCCAUACUGAGACUCUGUCUCAAAGAAGAAUUUAAAAAUUAUUUAUUCAUGUAUUUGAUGUAUAUGGGUGUUUUGUCUGCAUGUCUUCACACCAGAAGAGAACACCAGAUCCCAUGAGACUACAGUUACAGUUGUGAGUAUCCAUGUGGAUGCUGGGAAUUGAACUUAGAACUUUAGAAACCAGCAGCCAGUGCUCUUAACUGCUGAGCUAGUCCCUUCAGCCCCAGAAAAAAAGAUAUUUAAGUUGAGUAUUACAUAGCAUCUGCAACUGGGCCCUGUUUGUUUUUUGGUAUGAUGAGGUUAAAUGACACUUGAUAAAUCUGUGGAAAAAUAAAAGACUAUUUUUGAGACCUCUA
This is a long non-coding RNA of Mesocricetus auratus (golden hamster), 866 nucleotides long. RefSeq lists it as uncharacterized. NCBI's taxonomy places the organism in Eukaryota, Metazoa, Chordata, Mammalia, Rodentia, Cricetidae. The transcript has 3 exons. The record is from RefSeq and is a predicted model, not a curated record.